Molecule: ribosomal RNA, 484 nt
Filed under: uncultured bacterium
Lineage: Bacteria
Description: partial 16S ribosomal RNA
Rfam family: Bacterial small subunit ribosomal RNA
Source: RNAcentral
AUUGAGCGCUGGCGGCAGGCCUAACACAUGCAAGUCGAGCGGAUGAAGGGAGCUUGCUCCUGGAUUCAGCGGCGGACGGGUGAGUAAUGCCUAGGAAUCUGCCUGGUAGUGGGGGAUAACGUCCGGAAACGGGCGCUAAUACCGCAUACGUCCUGAGGGAGAAAGUGGGAGAUCUUCGGACCUCACGCUAUCAGAUGAGCCUAGGUCGGAUUAGCUAGUUGGUGGGGUAAAGGCCUACCAAGGCGACGAUCCGUAACUGGUCUGAGAGGAUGAUCAGUCACACUGGAACUGAGACACGGUCCAGACUCCUACGGGAGGCAGCAGUGGGGAAUAUUGGACAAUGGGCGAAAGCCUGAUCCAGCCAUGCCGCGUGUGUGAAGAAGGUCUUCGGAUUGUAAAGCACUUUAAGUUGGGAGGAAGGGCAGUAAGUUAAUACCUUGCUGUUUUGACGUUACCAACAGAAUAAGCACCGGCUAACUUCGUG